This 231-nucleotide unclassified non-coding RNA is filed under the name fungal sp. RNAcentral describes it as "partial internal transcribed spacer region". The stretch from base 1 to 47 matches the Rfam family "Eukaryotic small subunit ribosomal RNA", at positions 1785 to 1831 of the family's 1831-position model. The record is from RNAcentral. Lineage: Eukaryota; Fungi.
AAAGUCGUAACAAGGUUUCCGUAGGUGAACCUGCGGAAGGAUCAUUAAAAGGAUGCCGGGAAACCGGUAGACCCCACCCGUGCCUAUAUACUCUUGUUGCUUUGGCAGGCCGUGGCCUUCCACCGUGGGCUCUGCCUGCGCGUGCUUGCCAGAGGACCAAACUCUGAAUUUUAGUGAUGUCUGAGUACUAUAUAAUAGUUAAAACUUUCAACAACGGAUCUCUUGGUUCUG